AGAUUAGAGAAAUGAAGCCUGCACAAACCCAGGGAGGUUUUCAGCAGACACGAGGGAUGGCAGCAAUCAUUCACCAGAAAGUCUCACAUAGGAGAUUUUCAUUGAUAGUGCAAACUUAAUUUGUAUAUCUAAAGAUGAAGUACCUUCCUUUUCCGGUAAAAGUCAUUUCCUUUGUCAGGGGACGUUUUUAUUGGCCUCAGAACCUCCUAAAAGAUUCCUAUAGCUUAUCUUCCUUCCAUUUCUAAGACUAGAGAGGAAUUUCUAAGAUGAAAUAGGGAAGUUAGGUUUAGCCAUGAGCUGAAGUCACAUAAAUAAUCUGCAAAUGUACUCAUCACAAGGAAAAGACUUUAAUGAUCCUUUCAUAAUCUUUUUCAAAGGAAAAAAAAAAAGGAUAACCCUCAGCUUUAUUCUGACAUUUUCCCUCGAUGAUGCCAAUCAAGGCAUUUAUUGGUUAGUAUAACCAGAAGACUGUACUCAUGAAUAUUUUGACAUUUAAAGAAGGAUAAUAAAGGAACAGACAUAUAAGCUUGCCUGCCAAAGGAUAUAGUGAUAUGCUGCAUAACAGCCACCUUGGCAAUAAUGUGUUCCUCCACUAUAAGGGAGAAAAAUGAAGAGGCCCAGAGAAAACAAUGAAAGAAUUUGAAAGCAUUUUCCCAGAGUUGACGCCAAGAGAGCUAUAUUCCAAAACUUGGACCCAUGCUGACUCAUUGCCUAACUGUAAGGAAGUCAUUUUAUCUUUUUAUACUUUUAUAUCUGACUCUUUGUACAAUGGCUGUAUGUUUUAUCUUCUUUUCAAGUCAAAUGUAAUGUCAAAAAAUAAACCACAGAAUUGAAUUUUUUUUUUUUUUUAGCAAACAUGCACCAUAGUUCUAAAAAUUGUUUCCUUCAGAUCCUUAGGGAAAGAAUAGAAUAUUUUAAUAUUAAUCUUUAAAUUCAAAGAAUUAUUUUCCUAAACCAUUUCUUUGUCUUGUGUUUUCUCUGAGUUGCAUUCUCACAGUCUGGCUGCUUCUGUUCUCAUUUGAGCUUUUGUUGACAGGCUUCAAAAACAGCAUUUAUUUAGCUCCUUUGGCCAAUGCAGUGAGUUAUUUAACUCUUUAACCACUGCCAGUCUAAUCCAUGUAACUACAGGGUGGCUGCCUCGCCACUCCUUGGGUUACCCCGGACCCUCUGUCUUCUUAUAAUCUGAGUCUAUUUUUCUUUCCAAUUCCCACCAAGCCAGGUUCUCAUUCAGACUGUGAGUUCUGCUAAGGUUAGGAGCUGCUGUCAGCUCCAAUUAGAUUCUAUUCCUCACUACAAGCCUACUGUGGAAUGUACUCCCUUAAUAAAAUUUAGUCUGAAAUAGACUGUGCUAAAGGU
This 1356-nucleotide long non-coding RNA is filed under the name Sus scrofa (pig). RNAcentral describes it as "lncRNA (ENSSSCG00055005267.1)". Lineage: Eukaryota; Metazoa; Chordata; Mammalia; Artiodactyla; Suidae. The record is from RNAcentral.